Molecule: transfer RNA, 86 nt
Filed under: Toxocara canis (dog roundworm)
Lineage: Eukaryota; Metazoa; Nematoda; Chromadorea; Rhabditida; Toxocaridae
Description: Selenocysteine transfer RNA
Rfam family: Selenocysteine transfer RNA
Source: Rfam by way of RNAcentral
GCUCGGAUGAACCUCGGUGGUCCGGGGUACAGGCUUCAAACCUGCAGCCGUGUAACAGCGGAGUGGUUCGAUUCCACCUUCCGGGU